Molecule: non-coding RNA, 108 nt
Filed under: uncultured Micromonas
Lineage: Eukaryota; Viridiplantae; Chlorophyta; Mamiellophyceae; Mamiellales
Source: RNAcentral
AGGUUGCCGUCUACGGCGUGCCCGCUCCGAGGAGCAAGAGGGUGGACGCGAGGCGGGAGAAGGAGGAGGCGGAGCGGCUCAGACAGGCGAGCGAAGAGCGCGCGAGGC